CACCGCGGCCGCCGGAAACCGGCCCUGGUCAGGCACGUUCCGACCGAACCAGAAUCCCUGGGCGAGAUCCCCCUCCCCUGCCCUGGCCGCGCCCCCACUGUCCGGACACCCUCCUGACCGGUGGCCGGAGCGCGAUGUGUGUCUGUCAGCAAACCGAGCCACUGCUCUGAAAGGAAAGCCUUCUGCAUGUGGUUGGGCAUAUUCCACUGCCUCUUCCAAAUAGGAUCUCUACAGCUCCAAGAUCCCAGGCAGAUUGAUGAUCCCUGGGGAACAGGAGCAGGUGUGCUGUGGACUAAGAGAGAUGCACCAAGGGGGCACAGGAUGAAUCCUGUUAGAGAGCUCCUGAAGCAGCUUCAAGGACAAGGACUGUCUCAGCUCCUGUCUUCCUGUGGCAGGUGUGAGCCCUGGAGCUCUCUGCUGCCUGCUCUGUUUGGGGGCCGGGAAGGCACUAGGAGACUCCUUCUGCCCUGGGAAUGGAAGGAAACAGACUAGGACUAUUUUCUCAAAGAAAAGCAAAGGGAGCAGGAUGACAUGGCACCGAAACCAUCUUUUCCUCUUGCCAUAAUGGGCUGCCCCCUCCCAGUUAAACAGAAGCAGUGGAUCCUCUGCCUUUAACACCUUCCACCACUUUUAGAUCCUUUCCAUUCACAAGCAUAAACAUUUAUCUCUCCCUCACACUAGAACUUGGGUGCCUGGCCCUAGCUAAUACAAAAGUUACUUUCAGACCCAAACAGGCCCAAUCCUCCUUGAACUGGGCUAGCAAGGAAUGUAGUGGUCUCAGCUAUGUGCAUCAUUCCAAUCUCUUUCCAACUGGGCAACUGCUAUAGAGAAGAGGGGAGGCAACAGUGGUGCAAGUCUUCACUUACUGCUUCUGGUUUGGAUCAAGGAUACCUAGAACUAACACAAGGCUAUUACAGUACAUCGGUUUCAAAUGUGUGCAUAUUCAUAAGUCUUCUGCCCACGUGUGACAGCUAACCUGAUGGAUGGAUGGGGCAAUGGCUUUUUUAUGCAUCUCCUUUACUAGGAGAGUCAGUUUGCUAAGCUUCAGUGUAACAAGCACUGAUGAGGAUUUUCGUUCACGCUAAACAGAGGCAAGUGGGAUUCCAGUGACACACAGCACAUACAAGGCAGAAGCCAAGGCCAGCCAUCACUGUAUCCAUUCAGACUGUGGGUCCAACUGUGACGUCUGGUGCCAACAUGAGCCCUAAAAUGCUAAACCAGGCACGUUUAAACAUAGGAGCCCAAGACUGAAGACUAAGCUGUUUGCCUCCUGCUUCUGUACCCAACACAAACAGAAAUGGAGGAAAGGUACAGACCCUUUGCUACAAACUACAUUAAUGGUUUGACUCACUACACAGGUAAGGGGGGGGGGGGAAGAUGAUCCAGUGCUACACCACAUGGUGAUAGACAGCUGACAAAUGCUUUGUAUGCGUAAGUAGUGUAUACCUGUUCAAUAAUCACAUGCACGGUCCUGUGAUCUCUGCAAUACUUUGCAUUGACUUGCCAAGUUGUACUUUUCAUAGAAGAAUAAAGAAGUUAAAGAUAAGUAGGAUCUAUGGCAGGGGUAGUCAAUAGGCAGCCUAUGGGCCAAAUCCGGACAGCCAGAUGCUUUUGAACUGACUGUGACAUCUUUUUAAUUUACUUAUUAUCAUUAUUGUUUUUGUAUUAUUUUCGCUGUAGUCUGGACCUUGAAAAUACCUUGACCAAGAAAUGUGGACCUUGACAAAAAAUAAUUGAUUACCCUGAUCUAUAGCAUCAAAAAGUGGUGUACGUGGUAGGUCCCUAGACUGCAUUGUCCAUGGUGAGGUCCAUCCUAUUGCACAACCAGAACCUAACAGUUUACAGAGCCUAUUCCUUCAGGAGAUUAAGGGCAGAACCCAAAGGAUUUACCCCCGAAUACAUCCCUUGCUGCAGAAAUGUGAUCCACUUAAAAAAAAACAAAAAAACAAUCUACCCUUUAUGGUGACAAAGAUAACCUUGAAAACAUGAGUGGUGUAACUACUGCAUCUUCAUCUGCCCGAGAUGGGAAAGAACCUGAAAGUGUCUCAGAUAUGAAUGGUCCACAGGCACCUAAACCAGGGCCCCAUGCUAAAAUUCCGAGACUGUUAAACUUAGCAUUCCCCCUUCACCACCACCUCUCCCCGCCCCGAAAGAGAGACAUGGAAUUAAGCAUUUUUGCCAUGAAAUAGUUAUCUGCUGCAGCCAGGUGCCUGACAUCUUGCUCUGCAGUUGUCCUUACUGGGGUUAAGUUCAUUGUACAUACUGCAUGCUCACAGCACUGUUCCAUGGAACCAAGUUGCAGAGGCUAGUGUACCAGAGCUGGAGUCCAGCUUGCAGCUAGGGAGCCAGAAGUAUAGGCUGGCCAGCUGGGCUGCCGGUAGAGCAGUGCAGCAGCCAAGGCUUGGGAAGCCAGAGAGAUGAACUUCUGAGGUCAGCUCCAUGUUCGCCUCCCACCCCUAUUCCCAGCCCCACGAGAGGGAAGCGGUUCUGAAUGGGACUGCCUGGGCAGUUGCAGAAGCGAAGGCCUAAGCUACCUGGAGAACACAGUGAAAAGCUCACCCUUGAAAAUAAUCAAUACUUUUACAUCACUGAGAAUUUUCACUGAUGAGCCACAGCUUGGGGGGGAGGGAGAAGAGGGGCAUGGUGGGAAUGGGACAGACAGGGGGACAUAGAGGGAAACGCAAAGGAUAAUUUGUGAUGGUACAAUGUAGUUCUUGCUGCCAUUUUCUACAUGGGUUCCAAUUAUAGAGUAAUUCUUGGUCUUCACUAAAAGAGGAAGACCUGUAGUUUUAGGUUUUAAUAAUGUCCAGAAGCAGGUGGUGUGAGGCCAAGAGCUGCUCUUCCCCACUACCCAACAAGAGCAGGUGGGGCAGAUCAGCUCCUUUGGAGGUUCAAGGGGAUUUAAACAACUCAGAGCCAGCCUGACACUUGAGUCCAUCCCAGAUUCUGCUGGAGGUUUGUACACGCUGUUUACAGAGUUUGAAGGAGUAAACAUUGACAGUAUUCUGUGAAGGAAACUGGAGCAUGCUAGCCACAAAGCUGGAUGCGUUGGGGAUCCUGUCGUGGCAUCAUGCACUCCCACAGGACCCAGCAUGCUUCUGGCAUGCCUCACUGAGUGUUAACGCAAUUUUAAGAUUUCCCAGUAAAGGGCAAGUCCUGGCUUUGGCUAGUUUCUUUAAGGAACUUUGUGGCCUCAAGGACAAGGCAGCUCUUAUUCUAAACAACAAACCCAACAAAUCCUCUCAAUCUAUUGUCUUCACACCUUUGGAAGCACAGCUCUUCCCCCAGAGAGGUGAAGGACCAAAAUGAGGUUGAUUUAGUUCAACAGCACAGCAGAGGUGACAAUGUAUACAUUGUGUGUUCAGGGCAAAACUGAAGUCAUGUGGGUAAAAAUAAUUUGGAGCAGUGGUCGCUCUAAUUUUUCCCACUCGUGUGGAAUGAAUUGUGUUGUGUGUACCAAUAUGGAGGUGAUGUGUGACAAAUCACCUCCAUAUUGGUGCACAUAAAAUUA
This is a long non-coding RNA of Dermochelys coriacea (leatherback sea turtle), 3511 nucleotides long. RefSeq lists it as uncharacterized. NCBI's taxonomy places the organism in Eukaryota, Metazoa, Chordata, Testudines, Dermochelyidae. The record is from RefSeq and is a predicted model, not a curated record. The transcript is spliced from 3 exons.